UUCAAAUCAGUCCCAGCAGCAGCCCACUCCCAUAUUCUCCCUCUAACCUAGCCAAAAUCCUUCUUCUUCCACUAAUUCCAAAGAAGGGCCAACCUCAGCCAACCCAUCCUUUAACCCAUCCCACCUCUUCUUUUUUCUUCAGAAGAAGAUCCUUGAGACACGUAUUCACAACAGCAAACGCAGAAUCCAGAACAAUGUCACGUUCUUCGUUUUACUUUUUCACACGAACUCAAUGAAAAGAAGCCCAUAAAAUCUCGAUUCCAAGAAACUCAAGCCCACGUCGAGCAGCCCAGCAAGGUUGCGACCCCGCCCGCCUUGCCCAUGUUGUAUUCCCCAGUACGAUAGUACUGUUCCCAGAAGAGAAAAAACAACACAUCUCUGUUCUUGGGGUCGUGAGAUCGAGUCACGUCUCACCCCAAGGACGAUCGAAACGAUCGGGCCAUCCAUUUCCCUUUCCACUUUCGGAGUGGGUUCAAAUGGCAGGUAAAAGUUUGUUCGCCCAAAACAGUGAAAGAUCUCUGGGCGUUUGAAUUUGGAAUGGGCCUCGAAACUAGAUAUUUUUCGUCUCCCCCCCCCCCCUGGAAAUGAAAACCUUAAGAAUCUCCUAUAUAUUUCUCUUCUGCUUCAUGGUGAGAGGGGGAUUUUUUCUUUUGGAUAAGAAACUUUUUUGAGGAAGUUGAAAAAAAAACAUAGAAAAAUAUAGAAAAUUUGGAUCGAAGUAGAAAUAAGAACGAUAGUUUUGUAUUCUUCGAGUUUCUGAGCCACUGUUUGGAGUUCGAGUUUCUCGUCAUACCUUCACUGUUGGUGGUGGAAUAGUUCGUUUCUAGCUCGUGGUUUUGUUCCAAUUUCGCUACCUUAAGAAGUUUAUCAAGAGAUCUUUCUUCCCUGCAUUUCGAGAGAGCCGUUAAGGCUCGAAUCCUUUAUUGAGUCGUCCAAUCAAUAGAAUUUAAGAGAAAUUUCAUGAUUCCGGCGUAUAGGUUUUCGAGUCAGAAAAUUCGAAACAUGGUCAAGAAGUUGAAGAUUUUGGGUCGAGAAGGCUAAAUUUAUUUUCUAAUUUUUUAUUUUGUUAUCUUUGGGCCUAAGACCUUAUUCCUUUUAUCAUCAUUGUAUAGUUAGAAAAUUUGGGCAGGUGAAAAUGGGACAAAAACCCAAGACAUAAUGGGUCCAAAUACCGGUCCAGACGGACAUAAACCGGAUUGGACCCAAUUCUCUCUCUCUCUGUCUAUCUCUCUUUUACUUUAUCGUGUAUUUAUUUGUUGUUAAUUGUCAUUAGUUUUAGGGAUAAAAAUUCAAUCCCAUUCAAGA
Long non-coding RNA from Solanum pennellii, 1305 nucleotides. RefSeq lists it as uncharacterized. NCBI's taxonomy places the organism in Eukaryota, Viridiplantae, Streptophyta, Magnoliopsida, Solanales, Solanaceae. The record is from RefSeq and is a predicted model, not a curated record. The transcript is spliced from 2 exons.